AGCCGCGGUAGACGAGGGUCAGGCAGGAUCACGCUUCGUCCCUCACGCAAAAAAUGUUAUGCAAGAGCCAAGAUCGGAUCAGUAAGGUUAAUAAAAUACUAAUACCUAAUGCAGAAUAAUGGAGACAACAUUGGUUCCCCAAUUGAAGAUGGAACUUGCAAACUGCCUAUCCCCAAAUCCUGGGGCCUGCUGCAUGGCAAAUUACUGCUCUGUCCGUCCACUUCCACUGUGAGGGGAGAAGCCACCUACCUCAUCAGUGCUGUUAUGAAGAAUAAAGAAGCUGAUGUUUGCAAAGCCCUUAGAACACAUCUGGCACUAGUAAGUGACACAGAAACCCUUGUUAAAUAAGUUUAAAUAAAAAACAAGUUUCCAAUU
Felis catus (domestic cat) is the source of this 375-nucleotide long non-coding RNA. RefSeq lists it as uncharacterized. Lineage: Eukaryota; Metazoa; Chordata; Mammalia; Carnivora; Felidae. The transcript is spliced from 2 exons. The record is from RefSeq and is a predicted model, not a curated record.